CUUUAGAUCGGUUAAGGAAGAGGAGGGGAAGAAGAAUAAGAAGGUUGCACCGAUUGCCAGCAUGAUCGCUAUAAGGCCACCAGCGGGCCAACCUACUUCAGAGCAUGAUAGACCGAUACAUGGUUUUUUGUAGGACGACACUAAAGCGGAUUAGGUGGAACAGCAGCAGGUAGGUUGUUCCCUUGAGGGGUGGCAGGUGCCGAACCAGACUACCCUGCUUGCCUCUGUUUUUCUGAGACAACACUCAUCGUCCUCACAUCUUUGAAUACUGUCCUGCUAAUCGGCCGCUCUUUUUUCUCUCCAUGUUGCACGAUUAUAUACGAUUAUAUAGUUGCACGGACUGGAAUUUAAAUGAUCUUUGCAAUGGCAUAAGAGCGUUUCAGAAGAAUAAGAAAAGCUUUAAAUAACCACAUAUAAUAUUAUUCGUUGGAAUAUAUGACCAUAGCAAUACAGUCAUAUAGCAAUAGUCGAUAUAGAAAAGUGUUAUUAUUAUGCGCCCAAAUAUAUAAAA
This is a long non-coding RNA of Formica exsecta, 511 nucleotides long. RefSeq lists it as uncharacterized. The record is from RefSeq and is a predicted model, not a curated record. NCBI's taxonomy places the organism in Eukaryota, Metazoa, Arthropoda, Insecta, Hymenoptera, Formicidae. The transcript has 2 exons.